ACUGACAGCCAUGGUUACCGCGGCUGCUGGCACGGAGUUAGCCGGUGCUUCUUCUGUGAGUGAUGUCCUUCCUGCCGGUUAUUGACCCGCAGACCUUCUUCCUCACUGAAAGUGCUUUACAACCCGAAGGCCUUCUUCACACACGCGGCAUGGCUGGAUCAGGGUUGCCCCCAUUGUCCAAUAUUCCCCACUGCUGCCUCCCGUAGGAGUCUGGGCCGUGUCUCAGUCCCAGUGUGGCUGAUCAUCCUCUCAGACCAGCUACGGAUCGUCGCCUUGGUGAGCCGUUACCUCACCAACCAGCUAAUCCGACAUAGGCUCAUCCGAUAGCGCGAGGCCCGAAGGUCCCCCGCUUUCCCCCGUAGGGCGUAUGCGGUAUUAGCCUGGGUUUCCCCAGGUUAUCCCCCACUACCGGGCAGAUUCCUAUGCAUUACUCACCCGUCCGCCGCUCGCCACCAGGGAGCAAGCUCCCCGUGCUGCCGCUCGACUUGCAUGUGUUAGGCCUGCCGCCAGCGUUCAAU
Molecule: ribosomal RNA, 518 nt
Filed under: uncultured bacterium
Lineage: Bacteria
Description: partial 16S ribosomal RNA
Source: RNAcentral